Molecule: long non-coding RNA, 1540 nt
Filed under: Macaca fascicularis (crab-eating macaque)
Lineage: Eukaryota; Metazoa; Chordata; Mammalia; Primates; Cercopithecidae
Description: lncRNA (ENSMFAG00000060973.1)
Source: RNAcentral
GAGAAUUGCUUGAAUCCGGGAGGCGAAGUUUACAGUGAGCUGAGAUUGAGCCACUGCACUCCAGCCUGGGUGACAGAGUGAGACUCCGUCUCAAAAUAAUAAUUAUAAUAAUAACUGUUGUUGUUGUUGUUGUUGUUAGGACGGAUGUCUACCUUAAAUCUCGGCUCUCUCACCCUACUUAGCCUAGGCCUGGUCAGCGCCAUGGCAGAUGCUUCAUGAAACAACCCUCAUGGAAAUGGCAUGGCAUGGCAAGGGCCAACUGAGACCUCUUCACAGCACACAGGGGACUCCUGGGCCAAGAUGCAUGAGGCUUCCUAGGCUCUGGCCUUUCACCGAAACCCAGACAGGUGAAAAUUCAGCCUUGGAGGCUGAGGCUGAUAAUUAGGGAUGAAGAUGCUAAGGGGUCUCCUCGGCUCAUUUAAGGCUUUCAAAAACACCUGGGAGCUUGUUUGUCAUUUCAGAGGGUGCCAGCCGAAAGACAAGAGAGAUGUUAAAUUGCCCCCCAAACAAGGAGCAUGCUUGGUGAGUUUAGUUCUUGCUAUUGCUUAAAUGUCCCUGCCAAAACUCACGUUGAAACUGAGUCCUGAAUGUGGUGGUUUGGAGAGGUGGUGCCUUUAAGAGGUGAUUGGAUCCUAAGAGCACUGCUCUCAUAAAUGGAUUAAUCCAUUUAUCAAUUAAUGGGUUAUUAGGUUAAUGGAUUAGUGGGUCAUCUUGGGAAGGAAACUGGUGGCUUUCUAAGACAAGGGAAAGAGCUGAACUAGCAUGUUAGCACAAUCAGCCCCCUCACCACGUGAUGCCCUGAGCCUCCUUGGGACUCUGCAGAGAGUCCCCACCUCUGUACCAGCCAGAGAGAAGGUUCUCACCAGAUGUGGUCCCUCAAUCUUGGACUUCUCAGACUCUAUAACUGUAAGAAAUAAAUUCCUUUUCUCUAUAAACUCCACAGUUUCGGCCAGGUGUGCUGGCUCAUGUCUAUAAUCCCACCACUUUGGGAGGCCAAGGCAGGAGGAUCACUUGGGCCCAGGAGUUCAACGCCAACCUGGACAAUAUGGCCAAACCCCGUCUCUACAAAACACACACACGUGCACACACACACACACACACACACAAAUUAGCCGGGCAUGGCAGCAAGUGCCUGUAGUCCCAGCUACUAGGGUGGCUGAGAAGGGAGGAUCAUUUGAACCUGGGAGGCAGAGGUUGCAGUGAGCCAAAAUCAUGCCAUUGCAUUCCAGCCUGGGUGACAGAGCGAGAUCCUGUCUCAAAAAAAAAGAAUUCCCCAGUUUCAGGUAUUCUGUUAUAAGCAACAGAAAAUGGACUAAAACAGUUCUCUAUGAAGGGGUUCCUUGUGGGAUGAUCCCUUCAGUGGCCCCUCCUCAAAGGUUACGUGGUGCCCAUGGGGCCACUUGGUGAAUAGCUGAUGCCAUUUGGAAUUCUGGAUGUGGAGGAAACACCAUGUGUUACUAGUUCAGUGCCUCACCUCUCUGCCUCCUCCACGCCCAAGUUGUAUGUAUAACCUCCUACAACAAAUACAACAGAUAAAACA